Molecule: long non-coding RNA, 575 nt
Organism: Portunus trituberculatus (swimming crab)
Lineage: Eukaryota; Metazoa; Arthropoda; Malacostraca; Decapoda; Portunidae
Exons: 3
Source: RefSeq, a predicted model, not a curated record
UAUUAUUACAAGUCUUUUUUUGGAGAGUUUAAUCAUCUAUAGACUCAAAAAAGGCGAUUGAACACUACAAAUCUAUACUGAAGUUGUUUUUUUAGGUAGGUUCAGUCAUCUAUAGUUUCAGAAAAGGCGAUUCGAACUCUAUAAAUUUAUUCCAAAGUAGUUUUAUUUAGAUACUGGCCCUGUUGUAGCACCGAUGUAUAUACAACUACAGGAAAUACACCUUUAAAAUACCUUCAAUUAAACACAUAGACAAUAUUAUCGUUAGCAUUAUUAUUACUAUCAUUACAAGAGAGUUUUUGGUGGAUUCAGUCAUCUAUAGUUUCAGAAAAGACGAUCUGAUCCUAUUAAUUUAUACUCAAGUUGUUUUUUAGGUAGUUUCAGUCAUCUAUAGACGAUUUGAUCCUAUAAAUCUAUACUGAAGUUGUUUUUUUAGGUAGGUUCAGUCAUCUAUAGUUUCAGAAAAGGCGAUUCGAACUCUAUAAAUUUAUUCCAAAGUAGUUUUAUUUAGAUACUGGCCCUGUUGUAGCACCGAUGUAUAUACAACUACAGGAAAUACACCUUUAAAAUACCUUCAA